RNAcentral lists this long non-coding RNA (1811 nucleotides) under Equus caballus (horse). RNAcentral describes it as "lncRNA (ENSECAG00000048941.1)". Lineage: Eukaryota; Metazoa; Chordata; Mammalia; Perissodactyla; Equidae. The record is from RNAcentral.
AAUAGGCUGGGUUGAGGAAGAGAACAAUUCUUCUUCUUGUGGUUUACUCUGUCCCCUUCAGACCUCUAGAGAGGAAGCCCUGAUGUGACAGUGUACUAAAUGGAAAUCUUAUCACUAUGACUACAACAGCUGAUCAUAGUCUUUAAAAUGACUAUUAAGGACAAUAAUAAUACAAUCACACUUAACUGGUCUCUCUCUUCCCUUCCAGCAUCUCUUCUUUCAUUUAGUAUUGCAGGUUAUUGUAGACAUGCCUCAUUUUGCCUGCCUAUCUGUACAUUUUUGGCAGAGCUCCUUGCCCUGUCUCAUUUGUAUUUACAACCCUUCUUAUGAUCUAACUAAAGGCCUUGCACACUGACCCUUGGAAAAUGGUGGCAUACAAAAAAAAAUCUUAAGUGAAAGAGCAUAGGCUUUGGAUAAAUGGAAAGAAGUUUACUUUCUACCUCCAUGACUAAGUUGUGGGUCACCAAGGAAAAACUACUUAAACUCAGUGUAUCAGUUAGGACUGUGUUGGGCUUUAUCUUUAACAAAUAAGGCAUUUUAUUCUUCUCACUUGAAAAAAGCCACCCUUAAAGUAUGGAUUCCAUCCUCAUGUUGGUUGCCGUGCAAUCACAAGAUGGCUACUCUACUUCUAAAUUCAAGCAAGAAGAGGACAGUCAGUCCUUCUCACUAGGGCUAGAGCCACCUUUCCAAAAUUCAACUACUUCUUGUCGCUUCAUGGAUUCUCCACUUGAGAAGAAAGUCCAAACUCACGGCACUAAGGACCUUCUUGUGUACCUGUAUGUCUCAUUUUUCACUAUCUAAUGUUUUACUCUUCCCCCCAAAAUAACUCUGUAUUCUAUUCACGUGAACUAUUUACAAUCCUUACAACGUUUCUGUAGAGGAAUGUCCUGCUAAUGAUUUAACUUAGAUUUUUUCUUUGCUGAAAGGGGUAAUGGCAAGUCACUUUGAUCAUCUUUAGAAGAGUCAAGAAUCUUUAGACAUCAAGUAUAGUGCUCCCAAUCCAAAGAUAUAUGUGUGGCUAUAUAUACAUGCUCUGGAGAAGAUGAGGUGGCCAUGAGGAAGUAUGCAGCUGUCCUGAUUGUCCAGGAAAGGAUGGGUAAAAAGAACCUAUUUACAGGAUUGAAAAAGAAAAUCUGCCUGACCCUUCUUGGUAUGAGUGCUUAGGAAGGAAGAGGGAUCAGAAAUCCUAGGUCUGCAGGGGAUAAAUGCUUGGUUCACUCCUGACAUCAUGCUCCUGCAGUAGCUGUCAUCUCAAAGAAAAACUCUACAGGACCCAAAGACCCAAAGAUUAAGAGCUUUAAGCUUAGGUACCCCUCACUCCACUGAGGCUGGUUCUGAGGGGUGGAUCCUCCAAUUUCUAAGAUCUAUAGGAACAGGUUUCUGGUUCAUCAUCGUCUUUUGUGGACUGUGUAGGUCCACUUGUCAGCAGCGUCACCAAGUGGCUGCAAGAAGCACAAGCAAUAACGGACUGACCAAACCUCAGGCUCUUCACUCUUGGGUGUUAAAGUCAGAGCAAUGACCUCCUGUUGGACUGUGGAAGCCUUUGGAGUUUUAGCAAACUCAGAAAGAGGAGCUGCAAGAUGGAGAUACUAAAAGCUUGGCUAAUCUGCUGUGUAUGGACUGUUUUCUUUUGAGUAAAAAAUAAAUGUAAAUCCCCUCUCCCUUUGCCCAAUUUUGUGGAGCAAUUAAUAUCAGCUAUAUUUCUUUGACUUUUCAUCAUCUGGAAUGUUCCUCAUUCCCCUUGUCUUACUGUCACCUCAAGUGCCACUUCACUCAGAAGUCCUCCCUGCCUCACUGAGACUGAAGCAUCC